GAAUGUUUGUCUGCCGAGUUGUGCUUCUUGUUUAAGUUCAUGGCUUCCUUCCACUAUCCUCCUAGUAAACCAGGGCCUGAUAAUAAAAUAUUUUAUAAUGUGUUUUUGGGGAAAAUUGAAUUUCGGGGUAGACAUUUUGGAGCUAGAUCGGACGGCUGAGGCUAUCUAGUUGAUCUAAUUUUUGAGAUAACAAUCAAACCAACCGUUUACACGUGUCUUGGACCCCCAAAUUGCAUUACAAUAAUGUUUGUAUAGAAUGUUGCAUGUUGCUGUUUAGAUAAAGUUCAUUCAUCUUAAUCCUUCCUAAUUGGUACCUUUGAC
RNAcentral lists this long non-coding RNA (321 nucleotides) under Prunus persica (peach). Its description in RNAcentral is "long non-coding RNA (PPER_LNC003901)". The record is from RNAcentral. Lineage: Eukaryota; Viridiplantae; Streptophyta; Magnoliopsida; Rosales; Rosaceae.